Molecule: non-coding RNA, 135 nt
Organism: Pelobates cultripes (western spadefoot toad)
Lineage: Eukaryota; Metazoa; Chordata; Amphibia; Anura; Pelobatidae
Source: the annotation of a GenBank genome assembly
GGUUGUGGUGGCAGUCCUGGCACUGGAAGCCCUACAGAUAUGUAAGUGGUUGUGGGGGCAAUCCUGAAACUGGGAGCCCUACACAACCACUUACACAUCUGUAGGGCUCCUAGUGCCAAGACUGCAACCACAACC